RNAcentral lists this unclassified non-coding RNA (343 nucleotides) under soil metagenome. RNAcentral describes it as "partial contains 5.8S ribosomal RNA, internal transcribed spacer 2, and large subunit ribosomal RNA". The stretch from base 1 to 120 matches the Rfam family "5.8S ribosomal RNA", at positions 35 to 154 of the family's 154-position model. The record is from RNAcentral.
GAUGAAGAACGUAGCGAAAUGCGAUAAGUAAUGUGAAUUGCAGAAUUCAGUGAAUCAUCGAAUCUUUGAACGCACAUUGCGCCCGCUAGUAUUCUGGCGGGCAUGCCUGUCCGAGCGUCAUUUCAACCCUCAAGCCCCCGGGCUUGGUGUUGGGGAUCGGCGAGCCUCCGCGCCCGCCGUCCCCUAAAUCUAGUGGCGGUCUCGCUGUAGCUUCCUCUGCGUAGUAGCACACCUCGCACUGGGAAACAGCGCGGCCACGCCGUUAAACCCCCAACUUCUGGACGUUUGACCUCGGAUCAGGUAGGAAUACCCGCUGAACUUAAGCAUAUCAAUAAGCGGAGGA